GCAGCCUGCAACUCGGCUGCAUGAAGCUGGAAUCGCUAGUAAUCGCGGAUCAGAACGCCGCGGUGAAUGCGUUCCCGGGUCUUGUACACACCGCCCGUCACACCAUGGGAGCCGGAAACGCCCGAAGCCAGCGGCCUAACCGCAAGGAGGGAGCUGUCGAAGGCGGGGCCGGUGACCGGGGUGAAGUCGUAACAAGGUAUC
This 201-nucleotide ribosomal RNA is filed under the name uncultured bacterium. RNAcentral's name for it is "partial 16S ribosomal RNA". It matches the Rfam family "Bacterial small subunit ribosomal RNA", at positions 1300 to 1500 of the family's 1533-position model. The record is from RNAcentral.